GCCCGCCUAGCUCAAUCGGAUAGAGCGUCAGACUUUUACAAAAGCCUGUUUUUCGGGGGUUCCUUGCGUAAAGAGUUAAUCUGAAGGCUGCGAGUUCGACCCUCGCGGUGGGCU
Non-coding RNA from Mycena latifolia, 114 nucleotides. The record is from the annotation of a GenBank genome assembly. NCBI's taxonomy places the organism in Eukaryota, Fungi, Basidiomycota, Agaricomycetes, Agaricales, Mycenaceae.